This is a long non-coding RNA of Ornithodoros turicata, 5904 nucleotides long. RefSeq lists it as uncharacterized. NCBI's taxonomy places the organism in Eukaryota, Metazoa, Arthropoda, Arachnida, Ixodida, Argasidae. The transcript has 2 exons. The record is from RefSeq and is a predicted model, not a curated record.
GUGGUUGGCUAGGAGCGUGCUAUGUGGUGAAGUUCAUUUUUAAGAGUGCACCCGGGCGCGGUCCGAUGGCUCCAUCCCUGCACUCUUAAAAAUGAACUUCACCGCAUAGCACGCUCUUAGCGAACCAUCGUCUCGAAUGAUAUCGUUAUGUGCUCUGAUUUGUUGAAAACGGCAGGCGUACGCCUUUCUUGUGACACUUAUGCUGUUCAUAAUUGUCACAAAAAAGGCGUACGCCUCCCGUUUCCAACAAAUCAGGGCAGAUAACGAUAUCAUGGCUAAGAGCGUGCUAUGCGGUGAAGUUGAUUUGUAAGAGUGUGGUCGGGGCCCAGCCCGUGACAGUUCUAUGCUGCCCGUUCCGUCCCGUCAACUACUGAGUAGCGGGCUAUAAAUAUUGACUGUGUCUAACUAACAAUAGCGUAGCACAGGUCCGAGCCUGAUGCAGGCCCGUCAAUGUACAGACCCGGAACCAGCCCGAGCUCAUGAUUUGAAACCCGAGCGCGGUCCAGGUUCGCGAAGAGAGGUCUUCACCAGGUCCUGCUCAGGCUUUCGGGAGAGAGCAAGGCAGCAUACAUGUAAAGCAUUACAGAAACGUCGUACUCCUCCGACUUUCAACAAUCAGAAGACAGAGCGGUAUGAUUCCAACUGCUGAUUGGUCAAGCUGGUUGGUGAAAUUCUACUUUUUUAAUAUAGGGGGACACGAAAGCUCUUCGUGAUUUAAUACGCUCAGGCUCGCAUGUUAAUUUCGCAUCCCGCGGAAGUUUGUCACUAUAUUUUAAUUAGCAAGGUUCUUUUUUUUUCUAUAAUGUUUAAUCUGAUGUAAUCUAACCGUGAAGUUCUCCACCAUCUGAGAGUAUUCCCUCACCGUUGUCGUCGCGAGACAACUAUGAUCAUGAGCGACGCCCGUGGAUUAAUUUUGCCCAGCUUAGAUUUAUUUAAGGAAUUAUUUAAAUCUCAACACCCGGCACAUUGGAUUUAACGCGCACCUUUUCAGUUAGGCUGAUUUCUUCGCGACACAGCCAUCGCUUUAUUGAAACAAGUUAUUUAAAAAAUGAACGUCUAAAAUAGCUCACGCGAAAAUUGUCUUCUUUUCCUCGUGUCUGUUGUAUCCAUUUUUAUGAAUGCCUUUCGAAUACGCAAAAUGUACGAUGUCCGACUCAGUAGCGGAAUGUGAGGAAAUGUGUAGUUACGGAUUCUCACGUGACAAAUGUUGUUUCUUUCGCACAGUGUCAAAAAAGUUAUGGGUGCUUCCUCCGAACGAGGCCGCCCCAUUGCAAGGCGAACCCCAAGCACAAAAUGGACGAACAAAUUGUGUAGGUGUAGUGUCUGUUCCAGGUACGAAUAUAGGACGGCUCAAUAUUACAGUAUUUACGUUUAUGGCGUGCGGGAAAACUUCCGACUGUUUCCUUGCUACGUCUCCACUGGUUAUUUUAAGGUGAAGUUUAGUACAUGACAAGUGUUACACAUGGCGACUCUGUUACAAAAAUAAAGGAUGCAUUGGGGAAUCGGUUCGGUUCUAGCACCGUUGGUAAAGGCGGCACCGUACCGGAAUUUUAAAAAAAACUGCCAUAUCUUAACGUAUCCUCCUCUGCUCGCACAUUACUCGACUUGAAUUAAUUAAUCAACAAUGCAAAAUGUUACGCUUAAUACCACUUACAGGAUAGUCUGUGAUACUGUGAUAAUAUCACCUCACUUCAGCUGGUAAAUUUUGUGGUGGCAACAGAACUUCACCGCAUAGCACGCGGUUUCUUUCGAAUAAAUUUUUUGCGCUUUCUUCCAAGUUUACCGUGAAUUCACACGAGCGACAUCCUCACGGAAGAUUCUAGUGUAAGAAAAAGCGAAAACGUUGCUCACGGAGCCGAAGUUCUGUCCCGAGCUAUGUUGAUCAUUCACACGGUGCGGAAUAUCGGGAUUGGGGUACUGCACAGCAGACGACAGUUAGCAGACGACACCGCCAGCGCCUUUUCCUGUCGUCUGCUACGAAAUAUCUUGUGGCUGUGUCGCAGGAUAUUCCCCACGGUUAGCAGUGUCAACACCACCUAGAUACAGAAUGCCUGCUUACUGGUCGCCGUGACGUAACAACUACGGGUCAGCCUAUUGAGAUCGUAUUUUCAACGGCCGUAGCCAAUCACGAACGUGCUUCCAGCGGUCGUAACCAUGAAGACGAGCUACUGUCAGCUUCAUGGGCAGCAACUGUAAUCUGCGAGUAGUAAACGUCCCCCGAAAUAGGAAAACAAAAUAAAGCGCAACAUGGUCCCGUAUUUUUCUCAAGACUAAUUUUCUGGAAAGCGUAUUGCACUUUUCAGACUACAUGUUCAAAUUUGUGAAGUUGGUUGCAAUCAUUUGCGAGUUUCGCAGAACGGCGAAUCGCGGUAGCAGACGAAUUCUGACUUGAUGUGUCGAUGUAGCGAUGAAGGGAGAGGAGGCAAUAAACAGGCCUUCUGUAUUUACACUCGAACAAAAAAGGGUGUCAAAAGGUGGUUACUUCUAUGGUUACCACCUAGGUCAACAUAUAGCGUAUGAUAAAGGGUGUAAAAGGGUGGUAAAAGCAAAUACCAUAUAUCCAAAUUGCUACAAAAAGGCGUACCUUCCUUAUUAACGGGGGAGGGGGGCGUACCCCCCCCCCCCCUCGCUCCCCGAAUCGGAAUCGGUAACCCUAUCAUUCGUGGCAAUGGUGGCGGACAAGGUGUUAUGCGGUGAAGUUCUGCUUUGAGAGUGAGGGAGUAGGCAGAACUCUGCAACCUUUUAGGCACAACAUAUGCGACCAUUAUUACCUCGUAAAAGGUGCAACUGCUCCACCGUUUAUUUCUAAGAGUGUAGUUUGCGUUGGCAGUGUACGUGAAGACACGACGUUGAGCGCUCGUGCUCACGCGACAGCAGAAAGCUAUGACGUUUUUCGCAUCUUCCGCUGGAAUAUUCUGGGGAAUGUCGUUCAUGUGAAUACACUGUUAGUGCCGAGCAUGAAACAGAGAAGGAAUAUUUCAAUCCGCCAUAUGUGUUACGAAAUCGCUUCGCGGACAGCAAGAAAACUGAGUCUUCCCCCAACUUUGUCCACUUAUUAUAUACGCACUACGUAAGCAACGCGUUUUUGCAGCAAACUCGCCAUGUACAAUGCUUAUCACUUCACACCGCCUUCUGUAAACUGUACUAUUCUCUUUUUUCUGUUGAGCACGCGCUAUUGUUGUAGGUAUUUAUUCACUGUUUAUUUAUUGGCUCUCUGUGAUUCGAUAACCACACUAUGCAGCGAUGUAUCUUCUACAGCUUACCAUACGUGGUGUGAGAUUUGAGUUUAAUUAUCUGUUUGCUCCAGUGUUGAAGUCAUAUUGAAGUGCGAAGGUGCCACGACGACGAUUUUUCCGCUAGUCAAUAUCGUGCACAACGGUCUUAAUUUAGGUGUGUAUUCACUUGUAUUUACUAAAAUGGCAGGGUUAUUGUUGUGUACACAAGGUUUCGGAAUGCUUUCAAAUCACAUUUGAAAACUGCACGACUGAGUUCCUCUUUGACGGCAUUGUUUAUUGAUUUAGAGAGAGAUGUGCUGAUAUCAUAUGCGGGGUGUUCCUGGACUUGUACAUAUAUUUUUUUUAAUUAAUGACCCUGGAGAAUGCGCUUAUUACUGGUCAUAUAAUUAACGUGGAGGACCCCAGGUGGCAGGAGGAUCGGAAGCGAGUGUUGAUGUGGCACGCUUUCGAAGGCGCCCCUGUGAGGAAAAGCGGGAAACAACUGUAAGACACGCUUACUGGAAGCACUCGCUGUCGUUUCUUUAACUAAUUGCCAUCUGUUCACUGCUAGUAAGUAGAUAAUAGAACAGGAGACACUGUUGCAGACACUUUCUAUACUUUGGAGUAGAAGGCAUACCAUUAUUCUUGAGUAAACCCUAUUAAACACGUUAAGCUUUGUGGUCGGCGUUGACUUCAUGAAGCCUGAGACUCAGUGUCGUCAGCUCGUCUGGUCCAGUCUAUCGCCGCGAUUUUAUAGCCUCUGGCUAUGAGUGGCUACCCAUGCGGCUCGUGACGCCUUGUUGACAUGAAUACAGCCGCUGAAGGCGCUGCUGUGAUUGGCGGGAUUAGUGAUCUGGCCUUGUUUAGUUUAGAUGACGUUAUAUGUGUAAAUCUACUCCAAUUACCUUUUUUUACCUAGAUGGCGUUGCCUUAUAAUGGCGCGUUGUGAUAUGCCUCAAAAUGGUGUUGCCAGCCUAAUUUUAGCGGUAAAUGGCGCUGCAGUAAUGCGUUACCGAAGUGAUUCUGGAGGAACAUGAAAAGUGAGAAAAUAAGGGAAUUUUAGAAAGGUAUCUUCAUCAAUAUGUUCUCUGACGAAAUGGGACAAAAUGUGCGCAACAAUUAUUUGCUUUGAUUUAUUUUAUUAGCGAAAUAUUUAUUAAUAAUUCAUUAAUCCAUUCUUUCCCAAGAAGCACAGUAGCCCGCCUCAGAUCAGGUGUCUUACGGACGUGACGUUAUCGAAGUCAGGGAACUAGUCAUUUAUUUAUCUAGUUAUUUAUUAUUUAGUUACUUGGUGGGGUCGUAUCUUUCAUCUGCAGUAGUCACAAGCCGAUUCUGCAUCGGAGCACGGACGAUUGUUUAAUGACGAAAACCGCGCAGCAACACAGCGCAGUGUUUUCUUGCGAGCCGAACGGUAACAUAUAAUACAAUAUAAUAUCCCAAGCAGCACAACAUCUUGGCCCAAUAUUGGCAAUGCCGGCCCAAUAUUAGACCAAGAUUGGACCUCUAUUGGGCUAAUAUUGGCAAUGCCGGCCCAAUAUUAGACCAAGAUGGGACCUCUAUUGGGCCAAUAUUGCAUUUAUCGGCCAAAUGUUGGGCCAAUAUUGGCAAUGCCGGCCCAAUAUUAGACCAAGAUUGGACCUCUAUUGGGCCAAUAUUGCCAAUAUCGGCCAAAUAUUGGACCAAUAUUGGCAAUGCCGGCCCAAUAUGGGACCACGAUUGGACUAAUAUUGGGCCAAUAUUGCCAAAAUCGGCCCAAUAUUGGGCUAAUAUGUGCUAACCUGGGAUGAUAUAAUACGGCAAUAUAUUAUGACAUGGUAACAUUGAACAUAAAGCAGUACAAGUGGUCAGAAACCAGACACAGGCGUAAGUUGUAUUCUCAGUUCUUGCUGCAAUCUUACAGCGCAUCAGGCUUGUCUUCCUGAAGACUGACCACACAGAUUGACGUCUAGCCCUGUUUUUCUACGCGAUAUCACGCAUGAAGAUGAGAAACACUUCAAGGAUGUGGUGAUGACACGUGCCGAAUUUUUGAACAACUUUUUAUAGCUUUCGCUGUUUUCGCCGUGCCAAAAGCAAAAAUAUAGGGAAAAAAAGAAACAGCACUGCCAAAAACUUUAAAUCGAAUUUAAUUCGACCACGCUUCCCCAAAGCUCAAGCAUCAUCACGGAUCACUAAGUGAGAUAUUCUAACGGUUUUUGUCAGCAACAUUGAGACUUUCGUUUAACCUUAUAGAACGACGGUGGCCUGGUUGCAUUUCACGCACACACAUACGCAGAGAUGCUGAUGCCGAUGUGGGACUCGCCUCUGACCUUGCUGACUUCAUGCCCUGAGAAUACGUCUGUAUUCUAUAGGAAUGUCAGCAUGUGGACGCUUGAGGCAGUUCACCACAGCGUUUUGAAGCACGUGUGUUUUGAAGGGUUGAGUACCAGUCUGGUCUCAGGCGAUGUUACACAAUACAAGCAGCCCCACGUUAGAUAUCCCUGCGACGUCACAACAGGGUUGCAGGCUCCGGUAAGUGUGGAGCAGUUAUUUUCGACUGUUGACUGAGUGUAAGAUGAAGCAUUUUGUUUGUGGACCUUCAGAAGUGUGAGCGUUGGUUUCUCAGAGCGGGUGUUUGACCCCUUAUUUGUUUUCUAGUCCAAAGAGUCAGAAUAAAAUGUCUGUGUGAUAAUAAAGAAGUUACUGCAAUGUU